This 951-nucleotide long non-coding RNA is filed under the name Equus asinus (donkey). RNAcentral's name for it is "lncRNA (ENSEASG00005029854.1)". Lineage: Eukaryota; Metazoa; Chordata; Mammalia; Perissodactyla; Equidae. The record is from RNAcentral.
CAAUUACAGAACAGGGUUUCGGGUGCUUUACAGUGUCCAUUGUACUUUCACAACCACUGUCACACUUAGGUUCGUUCCACAGUUACUCUGUAAGUUUGCCCUGCAAGUCACUCCAUGGCAAGCACUUUCUGUCUCUAACAGCUGAGAAAAUGGACUCGGAGAAAUUAAGACACAGAACUAAGUAGAGAGGACCGGGGAGGCUCCAAGAAGAGGCAUCCCGCUCCCUCUGCAGCCGCAGAAACGCCUCCAGGACGCCUUCUCUGGCGCUGAGCCUCGAGGGGGAAAUUUGGACACAAAGACAGACAUGAGCACAGGGAGAACUCCACGUAAAGAGUGAAGCAGAGAUCGGGAUGAUGGCAAGGAACACCAAAGGUUGCCAGCAAACCACCAGAAGCUAGGAAAGAGGCAUGGAACAGAUUCGCCCUCCCAGCUCUCUAAAGGAAGCAGCCCUGCUGACGCUUCGAUCUCAGACUUCUGCCCUCCAGAACUGUGAGACAAUAAAUCUCUGUUGCUUAAGCCAUCCAGUUCGGAGUUCUUUGUUACAGCAGCCCUAGCCAACUGAUACAGCAUACUUAUAAGAAAUGAAAGACUAUGACGACCUCAAAGGAUUUUCACAAUCGUUCGCACCUCAAAGAAAGUGUUUUAAUCCCACUUUGUUGUCACAACCAAAAGAAAGGCUUUUUUGGUCUACACAGCCUGAGCAGCAGGCAGAAGAAGCUCUGGAGGCUGCCGAACAGGGAGGACCUGGAGAAGCAGGGCGAGGAGUGGCUGUUUCUAUGAUGCUGGCAGUGACUAUCUCCUAUCCUCCAUCCAAUCAGAGGAAACCAACUUUAUUAACAGCGCGUCUCCUACGAGCACCUUCAAUAAUAAUUUUGGCUUAUAGUCAGUGAUGUUGUAGCAAAUGUAAGGUAAAUACAUGUACAAUAAAUUGGUCUUCAAAAAAGAAAACUG